Molecule: ribosomal RNA, 253 nt
Filed under: uncultured bacterium
Lineage: Bacteria
Description: partial 16S ribosomal RNA
Rfam family: Bacterial small subunit ribosomal RNA
Source: RNAcentral
UACAGAGGGGGCAAGCGUUAUUCGGAAUCACUGGGCUUAAAGGGCGCGUAGGCGGCUUGGCAAGUGGAAGGUGAAAUCCCUCGGCUUAACCGAGGAACUGCCCUCCAAACUGCUUGGCUUGAGACCGGGAGAGGUGAGUGGAAUUCCCAGUGUAGCGGUGAAAUGCGUAGAUAUUGGGAGGAACACCAGUGGCGAAGGCGGCUCACUGGACCGGUACUGACGCUGAUGCGCGAAAGCGUGGGGAGCAAACGGG